Long non-coding RNA from Salmo trutta (river trout), 4971 nucleotides. The record is from Ensembl. Lineage: Eukaryota; Metazoa; Chordata; Actinopteri; Salmoniformes; Salmonidae.
UCAUUUUGUAAUUUUUUUUAUUUAACCUUUAUUUUACUAAAUAAACAAAUAUGCCUAUGGCACAUCAAGGGAACUGUAGCCUACUGUUCAGAUGGCUUAAAUGGAAACUGACUGGACACUGACUGUAGGUCUAUAACCUCUCACAUAGCCUUAAUAUUAACUCCUGCAGAAUGAAGCAUUUCUUGCAGUAAAGGGGUACACCAAAUGUAGGCAACAUUAUAACUCGGGAACAGGAGUGGAGAAAUAAGAUUUAUUUCUUUCAGCAUCUUGAGAGAAUGCAAAUGUGUAGUUAAAAGAAAAUAGCACCUCUACAGACGGUCCCUAACUGUGGUUGAAAUACUAUCGGCUGUUAUGAUGUUGAUAAAAACAGCACCUUUACAGACGGUCCCUAUCUUUAUCAGCAUCGUAACAGCUGAUAGUAUUUUAACCACAUAAAAUAUGCAUCCAAGCUGACCUGAAAUCUAUCAGAAACAUGUUGGGUUGUUUUCACAGCUUUCUAUUUCCUUACAACCGGUCAAACUGAUUUCAUUUGGAAAGUUAUUGCAUUUUCACCCCGGUCCCUAAACAUCUUUGCUCUGUGAAAGAAGAAGAGAUGACAGAGAACUUUACCGACGUCAACUAAAUGUACGCAUUCAUUCUAUAGAUUUAUGACAUUAUUCAGGUGAGCAAAGGUUUAUUUAUUCUUCUAGGGCAACAUAUAAUGACAGAAGAGAAGCUGCACGUAUCUGAUUUUAGACAAGUUGACAAAUAGCCAAACAAAAUGUCAAAUUAUAAGCAGAAACAUUUUCUCUAUUAGCGGGUUAUGGUCGGGACACAGCGGGUUAGGGUCUGGACACAGCGGGUUAGGGUCGGGACACAGCGGGUUAGGGUCGGGACACAGCGGGUUAGGGUCUGGACACAGCGGGUUAGGGUCGGGACACAGCGGGUUAGGGUCGGGUGCGGGACACAGCGGGUUAGGGUCGGGACACAGCGGGUUAGGGUCGGGUGAGUGUUAACAAAGUUGAGCCACACACAACUAGCACACACUCUUACAGAUACACACAAAACAGAGUGAAAAUACGAUGGAGGCACAGAAAAAGGACUGCCGGGAUGCGCUCACAGUCGGGCAUAAGAGUGAGUGAUGGAAAUAAAUAAAUUAGUUUUGAGAAGUAAUUUAGGCCAAUCAUAACCUGCAGUCAAAAACACCUGAAAACACCUGUAGUGACAACCUGAGUGAAGGUAAUGACAGAGUCAGCGAUUGACAGAAAAGUCAACAACACACCAGGUAAGUAUAUAUAUAUAUAUAUAUAUAUUCAUAUAUUUUAAUAUUUAAACCCACUAAAAAGUUGUAAAUACAACUUUUGAAUGAAAGGCACAGUAAAAUCAGACACUGCUGAUAUAAUACUCAAAUGAAAAAUUACAGUACAAAAGCGAACAGUUAUUUACGCACAUACAAAUCCCUCCUCAAACAGCAGAACGAACCAAUCACAGUCCUCCAGGCCAGGGAAACAGGAAACAUUCCAAAACAAGCUAUAAAACAAUGUGUGUCCCAAAUGGCACCCUAUUCCCUAUGUAGUGCACUACUUUAGUAGCCUAGCUAAACAAGCCUGAUUCCCUAAAUCGAGCACUACUAUAGUAGCCUAGCUAAACAAGCCUGAUUCCCUAAAUAGAGCACUACUUUAGUAGCCUAGCUAAACCAGCCUGAUUCCCUAUAUAGAACACUACUAUAGUAGCCUAGCUAAACCAGCCUAUUUCCAUAUGUAGUGCGCUACUUUUGACCAGAGCCCUAUGGGUCGUAGCCUCAUGAAACCAAUAAAGUGAAACAGAAUGUGAGCUCGCAAGAUCAGGCUAGUUUAGCUAGGCUACUAAAGUAGUGCACUAUAUAGGGAAUCAGGCCGGUUUAGCUAGGCUACUAUAGUAGUGUUCUAUAUAGGGAAUCAGGCUGGUUUAGCUAGGCUACUAUAGUAGUGCUCUAUAUAGGGAAUCAGGCUGGUUUAGCUAGGCUACUAAAGUAGUGCACUACAUAGGAAACAGUACAUGUACUGUAUGGUGGAUUGUAUUGACUGUAAAUUACUAUCUGAUUGUGUUUAUAGACCUCUCAAAUGGCACCCUAUUCCCUAUUUAGAGCCAGAGGGUUUUGGUCAAAAGUAGUGCACUAUAUAGGGAAUAGGGUACCCUUUGGGGGGGACACUGUCUAUAUAGAAUGUAGUGUACAGCACUGACUGUUGGACAUUGUUUUUCUGUUCUCUAGCUCUGAGACAAAAGGACGUUGUUUUUCUGUUCCCCAGCUCUGAGACAAAAGGACGUUGUUUUUCUGUUCUCUAGCUCUGAGACAAAAGGACGUUGUUUUUCUGUUCUCUAGCUCUGAGACAAAAGGACGUUGUUUUUCUGUUCCCCAGCUCUGAGACAAAAGGACGUUGUUUUUCUGUUCUCUAGCUCUGAGACAAAAGGACGUUGUUUUUCUGUUCUCUAGCUCUGAGAUGAAAGGACGUUGUUUUUCUGUUCUCUAGCUCUGAGACAAAAGGACGUUGUUUUUCUGUCCUCUAGCUCUGAGACAAAAGGACGUUGUUUUUCUGUCCUCUAGCUCUGAGACAAAAGGACGUUGUUUUUCUGUUCCCCAGCUCUGAGACAAAAGGACGUUGUUUUUCUGUCCCCUAGCUCUGAGACAAAAGGACGUUGUUUUUCUGUCCCCUAGCUCUGAGACAAAAGGACGUUGUUUUUCUGUUCCCCAGCUCUGAGACAAAAGGACGUUGUUUUUCUGUCCUCUAGCUCUGAGACAAAAGGACGUUGUUUUUCUGUUCCCCAGCUCUGAGACAAAAGGACGUUGUUUUUCUGUUCUCUAGCUCUGAGAUGAAAGGACGCUGAGCUACAACAAACUUCUCACUAUUCAAAUUAACAUACAGUACAUUAUGAUUACUUGGGCUUUAAUUUAUUGGUCCACCAAGUGCAAAAUCAACCCAAAUGUGCUAAUUUGUUGGAGAUGAAAAAUACAGCCCAUUUAAAGCUUGAUGGCUCAAAGUGACGCUGAACAGUGAGGAGGCAACGUUUAAUACUGAACCCAAAACUCAGAGCUGUGAAAUUACAACAUGUGAGGAGCCAAAUCUGGGUUGUUGAGGAAGUAGAUAAAACGCACAGAACAAGACAGGAUCAGCAUUUCCCUUUUCAAACAGUCAGACAUGGAGUCAUUUAUCAAUUACAGCCUCUGUAGGUACUGCAGUCCAUCUGCAACGGCAAUGCGACAUUCAUACUGUGGCCCAAAUCUUACGGUCUGUUUGAAUACUUUGAAAAUGCAUCCAUCCUUCCUUUAUUUAUCUCUUGAAGUUAAUCACUGAUUUAACACAGAGAAGGGAGCCUGGUUAACCCUGGGCUUAGUUGUGAUUUAACACAGAGAAGGGAGCUUGGUUAACCCUGGGCUUAGUUGUGAUUUAACACAGAGAAGGGAGCUUGGUUAACCCUGGGCUUAGUUGUGAUUUAACACAGAAAAGGGAGCCUGGUUAACCCUGGGCUUAGUUGUGAUUUAACACAGAGAAGGGAGCCUGGUUAACCCUGGGCUUAGUUGUGAUUUAACACAGAGAAGGGAGCUUGGUUAACCCUGGGCUUAGUUGUGAUUUAACACAGAGAAGGGAGCCUGGUUAACCCUGGGCUUAGUUGUGAUUUAACACAGAGAAGGGAGCUUGGUUAACCCUGGGCUUAGUUGUGAUUUAACACAGAGAAGGGAGCCUGGUUAACCCUGGGCUUAGUUGUGAUUUAACACAGAGAAGGGAGCCUGGUUAACCCUGGGCUUAGUUGUGAUUUAACACAGAGAAGGGAGCCUGGUUAACCCUGGGCUUAGUUGUGAUUUAACACAGAGAAGGGAGCCUGGUUAACCCUGGGCUUAGUUGUGAUUUAACACAGAGUAGGGAGCUUGGUUAACCCUGGGCUUAGUUGUGAUUUAACACAGAGAAGGGAGCCUGGUUAACCCUGGGCUUAGUUGUGAUUUAACACAGAGAAGGGAGCUUGGUUAACCCUGGGCUUAGUUGUGAUUUAACACAGAGAAGGGAGCCUGGUUAACCCUGGGCUUAGUUGUGAUUUAACACAGAGAAGGGAGCUUGGUUAACCCUGGGCUUAGUUGUGAUUUAACACACAGAAGGGAGCCUGGUUAACCCUGGGCUUAGCUGUGAUUUAACACAGAGAAGGGAGCUUGGUUAACCCUGGGCUUAGUUGUGAUUUAACACACAGAAGGGAGCCUGGUUAACCCUGGGCUUAGUUGUGAUUUAACACAGAGAAGGGAGCUUGGUUAACCCUGACCCUGGGCUUAGCUGUGAUUUAACACAGAGAAGGGAGCCUGGUUAACCCUGGGCUUAGUUGUGAUUUAACACAGAGAAGGGAGCUUGGUUAACCCUGGGCUUAGCUGUGAUUUAACACAGAGAAGGGAGCUUGGUUAACCCUGGGCUUAGCUGUGAUUUAACACAGAGAAGGGAGCUUGGUUAACCCUGGGCUUAGUUGUGAUUUAACACAGAGAAGGGAGCUUGGUUAACCCUGGGCUUAGUUGUGAUUUAACACACAGAAGGGAGCCUGGUUAACCCUGGGCUUAGUUGUGAUUUAACACAGAGAAGGGAGCUUGGUUAACCCUGGGCUUAGUUGUGAUUUAACACACAGAAGGGAGCCUGGUUAACCCUGGGCUUAGUUGUGAUUUAACACAGAGAAGGGAGCUUGGUUAACCCUGGGCUUAGCUGUGAUUUAACACAGAGAAGGGAGCUUGGUUAACCCUGGGCUUAGUUGUGAUUUAACACAGAGAAGGGAGCUUGGUUAACCCUGGGCUUAGUUGUGAUUUAACACACAGAAGGGAGCCUGGUUAACCCUGGGCUUAGUUGUGAUUUAACACACAGAAGGGAGCCUGGUUAACCCUGGGCUUAGUUGUGAUUUAACACAGAGAAGGGAGCUUGGUUAACCCUGGGCUUAGUUGUGAUUUAACACAGAGAAGGGAGCUUGGUUAACCCUGGGCUUAAGUUG